AAGAAAGAGUGAGAGAAAGUUGUGGUGAAAGUGUACAGCAGGGUUCGACACCACCUCCUGCCGGAGCCGCUUGGAGCCUUAGGUGUUUUUGCUCAAUAAACACUCACAACGCCCGGUCUGUGAGUCGAAACCACGACCCUACAACCACGAGUC
Molecule: long non-coding RNA, 153 nt
Organism: Octopus sinensis (East Asian common octopus)
Lineage: Eukaryota; Metazoa; Mollusca; Cephalopoda; Octopoda; Octopodidae
Exons: 3
Source: RefSeq, a predicted model, not a curated record